Molecule: ribosomal RNA, 161 nt
Filed under: uncultured bacterium H5-2-11
Lineage: Bacteria
Description: partial 16S ribosomal RNA
Source: RNAcentral
CACAGAGUUAGCCGGUGCUUAUUCUGCGAGUAACGUCCACUAUCUCUAGGUAUUAACUAAAGUAGCCUCCUCCUCGCUUAAAGUGCUUUACAACCAUAAGGCCUUCUUCACACACGCGGCAUGGCUGGAUCAGGCUUGCGCCCAUUGUGCAAUAUUCCCCA